Molecule: long non-coding RNA, 157 nt
Filed under: Castor canadensis (American beaver)
Lineage: Eukaryota; Metazoa; Chordata; Mammalia; Rodentia; Castoridae
Description: Pregnancy induced noncoding RNA (ENSCCNG00000010400.1)
Rfam family: Pregnancy induced noncoding RNA
Source: RNAcentral
CUUUCCUGAGCAGGAAAGAGAUCAGGUAAAGUAACAUAUAAUAUCCUCCUUAUUCCCAUGCAGAUGUCUGAGGCUUCUCUUUACUUUGUUAAAAUCUGAUUUGUAUUUCUUCUUGGUUAAUACCCCCCCAGAGUGCUCCCAGGCUGCUUUCUGCCUG